This 875-nucleotide ribosomal RNA is filed under the name uncultured crenarchaeote. Its description in RNAcentral is "bacterial SSU rRNA". It matches the Rfam family "Archaeal small subunit ribosomal RNA", at positions 21 to 903 of the family's 1478-position model. Lineage: Archaea; Thermoproteati; Thermoproteota. The record is from RNAcentral.
CCUGACUGCUAUCGGAUUGAUACUAAGCCAUGCGAGUCAUUGUAGUAAUACAAGGCAGACGGCUCAGUAACGCGUAGUCAACCUACCCUAUGGACGGGAAUAACCUCGGGAAACUGAGUAUAAUGCCCGAUAGAACACUAUACCUGGAAUGGUUUGUGUUCCAAAUGAUUUAUCGCCGUAGGAUGGGACUGCGGCCUAUCAGUUUGUUGGUGAGGUAAUGGCCCACCAAGACUAUUACAGGUACGGGCUCUGAGAGGAGUAGCCCGGAGAUGGGUACUGAGACACGGACCCAGGCCCUAUGGGGCGCAGCAGGCGAGAAAACUUUGCAAUGUGCGAAAGCACGACAAGGUUAAUCCGAGUGGAUUCUGCUAAAGGAACCUUUUGUCGGUCCUAGAAACACCGACGAAUAAGGGGUGGGCAAGUUCUGGUGUCAGCCGCCGCGGUAAAACCAACACCUCAGGUGGUCAGGAUGAUUAUUGGGCCUAAAGCAUCCGUAGCCGGCUCUGUUAGUUUUCGGUUAAAUCUGUACGCUCAACGUACAGGCUGCCGGGAAUACUGCAGAGCUAGGGAGUGGGAGAGGUAGACGGUACUCGGUAGGAAGGGGUAAAAUCCUUUGAUCUAUUGAUGACCACCUGUGGCGAAGGCGGUCUACCAGAACACGUCCGACGGUGAGGGAUGAAAGCUGGGGGAGCAAACCGGAUUAGAUACCCGGGUAGUCCCAGCUGUAAACUAUGCAAACUCAGUGAUGCAUUGGCUUGUGGCCAAUGCAGUGCUGCAGGGAAGCCGUUAAGUUUGCCGCCUGGGAAGUACGUACGCAAGUAUGAAACUUAAAGGAAUUGGCGGGGGAGCACCACAAGGGGUGAAGCCUGCGGUUC